CUGGGUUUUCUUUCCAUUUGGCCCCAGAGGAGGAGCCACCCCACAAAGAGUUUAGCAGAGCGAAGUCACUGGCCGCGCACUUGGAGAGAACAGUAUCCACAGAUGCAAAGAAUAACCAGUUUAACAUGAACCCUUGUGAUGACGUUGGGCCCUCCAGGAGAACCUUCCCAUCUGAAGAGCCUUAACUUAAUCAUGUCUGCAAAGUCUCUUUUACCAUGUAAGGUCAUGUUCACAGGUUCUGGGGAUUAGGAGGACGUCCAAAAAUGAGGAGGCACAUGGAGAAGAACCAGAGUGGCCACCUUGCAGCUCUCAAGGAUUACACUUGAACGUGAAGCAAGUAUCCUGAAAGCCCCAGGCAGGUGGUCAACUCGGCUAGUGUGCAGUUCUCAAUCCCUUCUCAACCUUUCCCUUCAUGGAGUCAUAAAGCAAGUUUCAUUUUAUAGGUGAUUAAGAAGCCUACGUGAGAAAUCUGUGAAAGGUGCCUGGCUCACAGAGGGCAGGAAGGUCAACUCUAAUAACACACGAGAUGACACAGGUUUCUGGAACACCUCUCUCUCCAUCGGUCUCCCAAGCCUUUCUCCACACCAGGCCUGCAGUGGGAUGACAGUGACAGGAUUAUCUUGCAUCUUUCCAAGGUGGCGCUAGAUUCAAUUCAGACUGAGAGGAGCAUGGAGAAUUCAGAGCAGAAUGGCUUUCAUCUGUGAAUAAUGGGCCACCCUCAACCUCCCACCUUCCAGCCCCCCACCAACGGUCAACAUGAAAAUACAGGAAGGUAAUGACCAGGAAAUCUCCACAGGAUUCCAUGCAACAGCGCCUCCGAGCAAGGGAUCAUAGGAGGAUUCCAUUUCCAAGUGAUGAGAGGGGCCAUAAACAGUUGAGAUUCCUCCCUGAUAUUGAAUUCCUUGAUGUUUGUAAAGUUUCACCUAUCCUUAAAAAAAGUUAAGAUUUGAAAAAAUAAAUACUCACGAGGUAGACAGAGUAUCCUUUUUCAGCAGCAAUGCAAUGAUCUCCACAAUAUAUUUUAUAAGGAACUGAGGUCAUACAAAGUACUACUUAUUAACAAAAUGCCCUCUACCGUUUUACUAACUGAAUUGUUUUCUUUUUAAUAUCAGAUUACCUUUUAUUCCACUGUGCUUUUAACAGAGAAGUUUACAAUCAGUGCAAUGAAAUAAACCACAUUCAACAAAGGAUAUGUCAAGAGCCCUGGAUUUCGGGUUUGCCUUUGCCACCAACUGGUGUGUGAUCUUGGGCAAGGCUUUUGACAUCACUGAGCUUUUAUUUCUCCAUCUGGAAAUUGAUAAAGAUGGCAAAUGGAGAGGCUGAGCGACUUGCCCAAGGUUCAUGACUUGGAAGGGAAACACUGGGAUGUGGACCCAGGCCUGCCUCAUUCCAAAAGCAUGUGUCUAACCACCACACAACACUGCCUCCCUGGGUACCACCUGCUGCAGCCGCUCCUGGAGGACUUGGCACACGAUUCUCAGCUGUGUUUACUUCACAAAGAUGCUCAGCAGCAAAGUGGGUGGUAGCCAGUAAUUCCCCACAAAGCUGUGUCAGCCAGCAGCAGGGCUGGGCCCAUCCCCUGCCUGGGAGGAAGAGGUCUAGGAGCUGUGCUCAGUACUGGCAGAAAGGGCAGCUGUGAGAAAGAUCACUGUUCUGGGAAUGGGAAAAAUAUGUUGACAGAAGCUCUGAACCUGAGGGUGAAGUUUGUAAACCAUGGGCUUCUUCCAGGGUGAUCAGGUCCUUCUCUCGGGCUGACCACAUUCCCUGGAGAAAGGUCUUCCAUCUCCUACCUGGAGGGUAUAGUCCUGCCUGCCACCAGCCUGGGGACGGAUUACAAUUAGGCAUUCUUAGGUGAAAGUCCACUUACACCCCUGAAGGGAACCCCCAGCCCUCCACUGUCCCUGAUACUUCCCGACUUCCCAUCCCUAUGGCUGGGGCUGUGCACGUCUUCCUGGGUGUUGUGGUGGUGAUGGGCCGAGGGAACCAACUUCUUAAACACUUGUUUGUUUUUUUCCAAUACCUGCUCCAGAGGUACCUGUUGCUGCUGAGAUCCAUGCUUUGGGAGAGUUUUGUCCCAUAAAUCAGGCUGCUUCCUGGCUUCUCCUGUUCCCCGGAGGAAUCAGUCACCACUGGUCCAUCUGCAUUCCAGUAUCUCAAAUUUUUUUAGUUGUUCUUUUUCCCAGUCUGUUUGACCUUGUGGGUUUAUCUGUUAAGAAAAAAAAAAUCUCUUUACGACUCUUUUGGGAGGGAGAAUAAGAAAACACUGGGGUGUGAUCUACCAUCUUUAUUUACUGAGAUGCUGCUCCCUCUGCUCUUUGGGGUCAGUAGCUACGUGGAUGCUACUCUGUUCUCUGGACCCAGUGUCUACUCACUGCUUUUGUCUGGAUGUCAGUACUUGAAAGCAGGUCCUCAAUUAACCACACACAUGCAGUAAGUAGCUCCAGGCUCACCUUUUCACGGCCAUUCCCCCUGGGCUCCCACCAUCCUUCAAUCUCUCCCUCGUCCAAGGAAUUUUUUAUUACAAAUGUCUGAGGUAUGGGUCUCUUGCAGGAUAUUCCCCCCCUUCCUAUGUUGAACUGAUCCAUUGGAUUUUUAAAGGAGUUUUUCAAAAUUUCUUCUAUGUGGACAGCAUUUUUCCUUCUUCAAAUCAGCUGUGAUUUUAUUGUCUAAGUAUACAUUCUUCUACAUUUCAUGAGAUUUGGUAUGGAACUGGGUAUAGUUGCAAGUGCUCAAUUAGACAUCUUAUCUAAUCCGGAAGUAUAAAUAGUUAGGCCAUCCUCUUUUCCCUUUUUUGGUGGUUAGGGAGUGAGUUGGAGGUUUGCCACACCAAGAUUAUUCACCCAUAUUUUCUUCUAUUACUUUUGUGUUAAUUUUCUAUAUUUAAAUCUUUGGUUCACUGGAAAUUUUAUUUGGUGUUGGAUGUAGAGAGGAAUCUAGAGUUCUUAAAAAUGUUUAGCUGUUUGUUCAAAUGUUAGUUAUUGACUAGUUUUCUGACAAAUAUAUACUCAAUUCGUGUCUUCAAAGUAUAUUUUAUUAUCUCAUGAGUCAAGUUUUUCUUGAUAAUGAUUCUUUUUUUAAGAACUUUUAUUGAGAUAUAAUUGAUAAUAAUUCUUUUUUAACUCUUUCUUGGCGAUUUGUAUAAAUUUAUUCCAGUAAAUGCAUUUUGAAUAAUUUGGGCAAGUUAAAAAAAUCCCAUUAGAAUUAGGGAGUGUUCGAAUUUAUUUUAAUAGAUUCAUUCAGGGUGCACUGGCCUUUUAAUAAUUAUAAGCCAUAUUUCAGCCUCUUGCAUGAAUCUAUGUUAUCCAGUCAGCUGAAGUAAUUGUUUACUUUAAGAUGUAAUAAAAUUGUCUCAACACCCCAUCUCACACCUGAUAGAAUCCCAACAGGCUUUUCAGUCUCUUUGGGGUUUCAUGACAGUGGAGGGUUGGUGUUUAUUUUUCCCGGAGCCAGUUCUAUUUUCCUGCUUCCACGGAAUUCUUGGUUUCUGCUCUGGCUCUGACCCUCGCACAUCUGUCCUUUCUCCAGUCCACAGCACCCCACUGGAGACGAUCUGGUCUCUCCGCUGGCAUUAAUUCAAGGCCAUGAGCACUAGAUAGGAGACUUUAGGGUAGAGUUACAGUCUGAGCCCUGGAGUCAGAAUGUCGAGGUCAACCACUAGACUCCACUUCCCAGCUGUGCACUUGGUCAAGUCGCUUAACUUCUCUCUGCCUGAAUCCCUCAUCUGUAAUGGUAAACAAGAUUGUUGUGACAUUUAAAUGAUAUACACAGUUAACAGUGCUUAGUGCGUUGCCCAGAAAGUAGGUGCUCUCAUCAUCACCAUCAGCACCACCACCAUCAUCAUCAUCAAAGGUUUGGCGGCUGUACAAAUGGGCUGCAUAAUAAUGGAUCACAGCAAAUGACUUUAGACACUAUACGCGUUUACUCUUAAACGUUCCUCUACGCGUCCUCUUACUGGAAGAAGGUCCUCUCUCUUUAAGCUCCAGCUGGGCCUCUUACUUUGAUCUCUUCCCUUCUUUCUCCUGGUUUACUCAACUCCUGCCCAGUCUCACUAUCUUAAUUCUAGUCAUGACAUCAAGGAUAAGACCUAUCUUUCCAAAAUAUACCCAUCCCAUCCAGAUGCUUGGCUAAAAAACCAAAACAAACGAAAGCAAACAAAAAAAGCCAGUUUUCUCUCCAAGAGGAAUUGUAUAGUCAUCUUACAGCUCCAAAACUAAUCAUUAUUUUUUCCCUUUUUCGGAAAGUUAAUAUAGUGAAUAUCUAAAAGGUACAUCUCUCUGCUUUAUCAAAUCUCCUUUAUUAACCAUCAACAGGGUUCUGUUGCUUUCUCUAUAGAGCAUGUCUUAUUAGUUAUUAUAUAUAAAUUGCUAUUAUGAGUAGUAGUUUUUAUUCAUUACACUUUCCAAGUGACUAUUGUUAGUGUGAAAGUUAUUACUUUUUUGAACAUUUAUUUUGGAAACGGAGUCAUAUUACCACUGUUUCUAAUAGUUUUCUCAGUUUAUUCUCUUGAGUUUUCUCUGGUAUAAAAUCAUUUUAUCCUUGAAUAAUGACAAUCUUGCUCACUUCUUUCCAAUAUUUAUACCUUUUGUUUUGGCUUAGUGUGCUGGCUUGGACAGAUGUUCUGUAUCAGCGAUGAUAAUGACCCCCUGGUACUGAUGGAUUCUACUUGCUAAUAUUCUGUUUAGAAUUUAUAAGUGAAAUGAGGUGUACAGUUUUCUUUGGGGUAUGCCUUUAAUAGGUUUUGGUAUAGUGUUUUGCUGGCUUUAUAAAAACAAUAAAAGCAUUGAAAAGCACUCCUUCGCUCUCUGAGUUAUGGAACAAUUUAAAUAAUUCCCAUGAUAUCUAUUCUUCUAUGGUUUGAACCAUGAAAGCUGUAUGUCUGGCCCCUUUCAGGAGAAUCUCCUUUAUAAUUGUCUCGCAGCUUAUUUUAAAUUUCCUAUUUCUUCUUGAUAUAAGAAAUCUAUUAUUUCUAGAAUAAUUGUCCACACAUCCAAGUUUUUAAACUUAUUUCCACAGUUUUACAAAGCAUUUUUUUAAUACUUUAACAAAUUUCCCCUGUAUCUGUA
This is a long non-coding RNA of Hippopotamus amphibius kiboko, 5063 nucleotides long. RefSeq lists it as uncharacterized. The transcript has 9 exons. The record is from RefSeq and is a predicted model, not a curated record. NCBI's taxonomy places the organism in Eukaryota, Metazoa, Chordata, Mammalia, Artiodactyla, Hippopotamidae.